AUUUAGCAGUGAUAUUGUGCUUCUACUCACCAAAUACUGUUUUGCUGUUGGAUACAGCUCAGCUUGGUUUCUUCCUCUGUUUUCUGAAGAAGCCUGGAGAAAUUUUCUUUUGGGUAUGGGUAUGGGAAAGUUUUCACUUUCUUUAUUUCAGCCCUUUUGAAGUUUCAUGGAAACCUCGACAAUGCACUGUUAUGUGGUUUGGAGCACCUGUCAGCCUCUGCCUAUGAUUCACAGGUGUGGGAAAAUCUGUUUCCAGUGCCUUCGAAUUGCUGAGUCAUAUUCAGACUGGGAAUCCCAGUGAGUGUCUUUGCUCCCAAAUGACAAUGAAGCAAGUGGGCUGGAUGGAGAGGUACAAAGAGAGUCCUGUAAUGGAAGAAGAGACACAGCUGGAACAAUACUAUUUCCAGGAAAAUCCUGAGGAAUCAGCUCAGGAAGGCAUAAAUUAAAAAGAGCCUUAAGGUACUAGCAGGGAAACUUGAAGUUCUGAAGAUGUUGAUCGGUAUACAACUGAUGUACACAGAAAGAGAGCUCCUCUCAGGUGAAUGAGGAUGAAACCAGCAGCCCUGGAGAUUUGCUCCAGUAUAUCCGUGACUAAUACAGCCCAGCCUGCUACUGCCCUUCUUUGCUGCAAGAGCACACUGCUGUCUCAUGUUCAACUUCCUGCAUAACAGGACUAUAAGACAUUUCCCUGCAGAGCUGAUUCCUGCAUAAUUGGCCUACAGCAUUUACUGUCACGUGGUGUUAUUCCUUCCAAGGCUUCUUGCAGGAAUUAAGCAAAGUUUUACAUCCUGGAUCACAGAGGAGUUCAAGGCAUAUGAUCCCUUCUGGCCUUACAAAUCUGUAAAUCUGAAGUCACGCUUGAGGUCUGUGACAGAAUGAGCAUAUCACCCCAGUUCAAAAAUUUAUCCCCAAACCAAUAUUUCUUCACAGGCAAGAUGUGAUGCAUUCUGUUUGCAAGAGGUGAACUGUUUUGACAGAGUAAAAGAAAGUUCCAGAGGUGUCACAAGAAGAGGAGAAGGGCCUUAGCAAAGAAGUGCGCCUACAAAGAGUGCCUACAGCCCAAGUGAAGAGACUUGUGGGAGAAGAAAGCAACUGACACUCCAGUGCCUACAGUAAAGAAAAUAAAUUUUCCAUGGAUUGGAGAAGAUUGUCCAGAAUUUUCUGCUACCCAGGAAGCUACUGAGCUUCUGAAACCAGGUGGAAAUAAGAAUCCAACUGCAAUAACACAGUGGCAAAAGGAAAGUAUGUACAUUUGUUUCUAUUUCAUCUCUAGUCAUCUUCAGCUUUCAUUAUUUGAACAACAGCAACAAUAAAGUAACUAUCUAUUCUG
This is a long non-coding RNA of Gallus gallus (chicken), 1330 nucleotides long. Lineage: Eukaryota; Metazoa; Chordata; Aves; Galliformes; Phasianidae. The record is from Ensembl.